RNAcentral lists this ribosomal RNA (252 nucleotides) under uncultured bacterium. RNAcentral describes it as "partial 16S ribosomal RNA". It matches the Rfam family "Bacterial small subunit ribosomal RNA", at positions 524 to 776 of the family's 1533-position model. The record is from RNAcentral.
UACGUAGGUCCCGAGCGUUGUCCGGAUUUAUUGGGUUUAAAGGGUGCGCAGGCGGCACGGCAAGCCGGCGGUCAAAUCGCGGGGCUCAACCCCGCCCAGCCGUCGGAACUGCCGGGCUAGAGUGGGCGAGAAGUGCGCGGAAUGCGAGGUGUAGCGGUGAAAUGCAUAGAUAUCACGCAGAACUCCGAUUGCGAAGGCAGCGCACCGGCGCCCUACUGACGCUCAGGCACGAAAGCGUGGGUAUCGAACAGG